RNAcentral lists this ribosomal RNA (465 nucleotides) under Vreelandella stevensii. RNAcentral's name for it is "partial 16S ribosomal RNA". It matches the Rfam family "Bacterial small subunit ribosomal RNA", at positions 338 to 795 of the family's 1533-position model. The record is from RNAcentral. Lineage: Bacteria; Pseudomonadati; Pseudomonadota; Gammaproteobacteria; Oceanospirillales; Halomonadaceae.
CCUACGGGGUGCUGCAGUGGGGAAUAUUGGACAAUGGGCGAAAGCCUGAUCCAGCCAUGCCGCGUGUGUGAAGAAGGCCUUCGGGUUGUAAAGCACUUUCAGUGGGGAAGAAAGCCUUGGGGCUAAUACCCUCAAGGAAGGACAUCACCCACAGAAGAAGCACCGGCUAACGCCGUGCCAGCAGCCGCGGUAAUACGGAGGGUGCGAGCGUUAAUCGGAAUUACUGGGCGUAAAGCGCGCGUAGGCGGUCUGAUAAGCCGGUUGUGAAAGCCCCGGGCUCAACCUGGGAACGGCAUUCGGAACUGUCAGGCUUGAGUGUAGGAGAGGAAGGUAGAAUUCCCGGUGUAGCGGUGAAAUGCGUAGAGAUCGGGAGGAAUACCAGUGGCGAAGGCGGCCUUCUGGACAGAGACUGACGCUGAGGUGCGAAAGCGUGGGUAGCAAACAGGAUUAGAUACCCGAGUAGUC